RNAcentral lists this ribosomal RNA (415 nucleotides) under uncultured microorganism. Its description in RNAcentral is "bacterial SSU rRNA". It matches the Rfam family "Archaeal small subunit ribosomal RNA", at positions 330 to 745 of the family's 1478-position model. The record is from RNAcentral.
GCGCAGCAGGCGAGAAAACUUCACACUGUGCGAAAGCACGAUGAGGGAAUCCCAAGUGCUUGCACGUAAGUGUAAGCUGUUUCUCUGUCUAAAACGCAGAGAGAGUAAGGGCUGGGUAAGACGGGUGCCAGCCGCCGCGGUAAUACCUGCAGCUCAAGUGGUGACCGUUAUUAUUGGGCCUAAAACGUCCGUAGCCGGUUUAAUAAAUGCCUGGGUAAAUUGUGUAGCUUAACUAUACGAAUUCCGGGUAGACUGUUAAACUUGAGACCGGGAGAAGUUAGAGGUACUCCUGGGGUAGAGGUGAAAAGUUCUGUAAUCCUAGGGGGACCACCAGUGGCGAAGGCGCCUAACUAGAACGGGUCUGACGGUGAGGGACGAAGCCCUGGGGCGCAAACGGGAUUAGAUACCCGGUAGU